CCUACGGGAGGCAGCAGUGGGGAAUUUUCCGCAAUGGGCGAAAGCCUGACGGAGCAACGCCGCGUGAGGGAUGAAGGCCUCUGGGCUGUAAACCUCUUUUAUCAAGGAAGAAGAUCUGACGGUACUUGAUGAAUAAGCCACGGCUAAUUCCGUGCCAGCAGCCGCGGUAAUACGGGAGUGGCAAGCGUUAUCCGGAAUUAUUGGGCGUAAAGCGUCCGCAGGCGGUCUUGUAAGUCUGUCGUUAAAGCGUGGAGCUUAACUCCAUUUCGGCGGUGGAAACUACAAGACUAGAGUGUGGUAGGGGCAGAGGGAAUUCCCGGUGUAGCGGUGAAAUGCGUAGAUAUCGGGAAGAACACCAGUGGCGAAGGCGCUCUGCUGGGCCAUAACUGACGCUCAUGGACGAAAGCUAGGGGAGCGAAAGGGAUUAGAUACCCCUGUAGUCCUAGCCGUAAACGAUGAACACUAGGUGUCGGGGGAAUCGACCCCCUCGGUGUCGUAGCUAACGCGUUAAGUGUUCCGCCUGGGGAGUACGCACGCAGNGUGAACUACAAGAAGUUAGACGGCGUGAGACGUGCCGAACGGACGACGACGAGGGAGGUAGG
This 602-nucleotide ribosomal RNA is filed under the name uncultured bacterium. RNAcentral describes it as "bacterial SSU rRNA". It matches the Rfam family "Bacterial small subunit ribosomal RNA", at positions 338 to 1415 of the family's 1533-position model. The record is from RNAcentral.